CAGUCGCCGCGGUAAUACGAAGGGGGCUAGCGUUGUUCGGAUUUACUGGGCGUAAAGGGCGCGUAGGCGGGCUGAUAAGUCAGGGGUGAAAUCCCAAGGCUCAACCUUGGAACUGCCCUUGAUACUGUUUGUCUUGAGUUCGAGAGAGGUAAGUGGAACUGCGAGUGUAGAGGUGAAAUUCGUAGAUAUUCGCAAGAACACCAGUGGCGAAGGCGGCUCACUGGCUCAUUCUAGACGCUGAGGUGCGAAAGCGUGGGGAGCAAACAGGAUUAGAUACCCGUGUAGUCCCUGUCUCUUAUAA
RNAcentral lists this ribosomal RNA (301 nucleotides) under uncultured bacterium. RNAcentral describes it as "partial 16S ribosomal RNA". It matches the Rfam family "Bacterial small subunit ribosomal RNA", at positions 509 to 809 of the family's 1533-position model. The record is from RNAcentral.